UUGGUGAUUAUAAUUUAUAACGUACCAUAUAGCAGUGCUACCCCGGCCCACCCCCUCUACGAAACUUCCUCUCCUCUUUCCUAGCUCUAUCUGCAACUCUCUGCAACCGCCUUGUUUUUAUAAAUAUGUAAGUAUAGGAGGCAUACGUACUGCACUGCACUCAAUUCGUAUCUUGAGGCCGGAAGCCAUGGAUGACAGCUCAAUUAGAGAGUGUUGCAAAUCUUCAAACUACGUCUUCACCGGAAAAUUCAUGUUAAUCUCUGUAGUUGUUGUUGUGUUGGUUUGUGUUUUCUUAGGUUUCUUCCACGUGUUUGCACGGCGCCGCCGCAAACUGGGUUUCCUCGAAGACUCCAGUGACGCCGUCGACGGUGCUAGCGCUCAUGGACUUGACCCGUCUUCACAAGAAUCCCUUCCGACGACUUCUGUCCAUUCGUCGGCGGAAGGACGCGACGGCCGUCCACAUGAAUGCUCCGUGUACUUGUCGGAGCUCAAAGAUAUUGAGACGGGUCGGGUCUUGCCCAAAUGCGGGCAUUGCUUCCUUCCAUGCUGAUUGCAGUGGACUAUGGUUUACAUAAAUCAGAGCCCAGAUUCUGCCAUUAAAAACCCCGGUUUAGCUCCUCAAUCAGACGGGACUGGAAUUGAAACCGGAAGCUUUUGACGUUGAAUCGAAUUCGAGUUUCCCUCCGAUCCGUGCCAAAUUAAAGCGGAGAAAGCGGUGGGGCUUGCUUCAAUUAUCCUCUACAACAAAGUCAAUUCCGUCGUGGUUACUGACCGGAGAAAAGGAAUAUUAUUGACUGGUAGGGACAAGCAGCCAAGCUGCAAAUAUUAUUGAUGUGAUGUGAUUACUGAUUAGAUGUCAAAAAGCAAAUGGUGUAAAAAUCUUUGUCGGUAUGUAAAUCAUAAUCUGAUCUUU
Ipomoea nil (Japanese morning glory) is the source of this 913-nucleotide long non-coding RNA. RefSeq lists it as uncharacterized. The record is from RefSeq and is a predicted model, not a curated record. NCBI's taxonomy places the organism in Eukaryota, Viridiplantae, Streptophyta, Magnoliopsida, Solanales, Convolvulaceae. The transcript is spliced from 2 exons.